UACAGAGGUCUCAACCGUUGUUCGGAUUCAUUGGGCGUAAAGGGUGCGUAGGCGGUCGCGCAAGUCGGAUGUGAAAUCUCAGGGCUCAACCCUGAAACUGCAUUCGAUACUGCGUGGCUAGAGUGCUGGAGAGGAGACUGGAAUUUACGGUGUAGCAGUGAAAUGCGUAGAUAUCGUAAGGAAGACCAGUGGCGAAGGCGAGUCUCUGGACAGCAACUGACGCUGAGGCACGAAGGCCAGGGGAGCAAACGGGG
This 254-nucleotide ribosomal RNA is filed under the name uncultured bacterium. Its description in RNAcentral is "partial 16S ribosomal RNA". It matches the Rfam family "Bacterial small subunit ribosomal RNA", at positions 524 to 777 of the family's 1533-position model. The record is from RNAcentral.